Cydia pomonella (codling moth) is the source of this 606-nucleotide long non-coding RNA. RefSeq lists it as uncharacterized. The record is from RefSeq and is a predicted model, not a curated record. Lineage: Eukaryota; Metazoa; Arthropoda; Insecta; Lepidoptera; Tortricidae. The transcript is spliced from 3 exons.
CCCGCUGCACGCCCAACUUGAGCGUCCACUCAGGCCUUACACUUACAGCGCGUAUACACGUGAUACUCAUAAUCCACAUGUUCCACAUCACAUUAUUUUAAACAAUAACUGUCUCGUCGCUAAAUGUAUGUGUAAUCAGAUGUCAACUGCAUAUAAAACUAUUUUUAUGAAGAAAUUAAGUUGUUUUCUUGAGUUUGCAGACCCGAUACCAUCAUGAAGAUCUUCUAUGUGAUUUUCGUGAUUGCCCUUCUAGCGGUGGCAUUUAUUUACGUUGAAGCAGCCAUUUCAUGCACUAUGGAGUAUCAACCAGUAUGCUCUAUCAACAACAUUACAUAUGGAAACAAUUGCUCGAGAAUUGGUGCGUGCGAUCCAUACUGGAAAGACGGGCCCUGCGAUGGACGUGGAUGGGCAGAUGCCUGAUUGGCUCAAAUCAUGGCUCAUAGUUUGACUCUUUACGUACUGACAACCUUCUUAUUAAGAUUUUUUUUUACUUAUUAAGAUUGUACACUAAUAAAAAACUAGUCAAUAAAAACUUACGACUACGUAAUUAUACCCUUUGUCCCAAACAUUGAGAUUAACGUUCCAUAAUAUGAGAUAAAUUUGCGA